CGGGGGGGCAAGCGUUGUUCGGAAUUACUGGGCGUAAAGGGCUCGUAGGCGGCCAACUAAGUCAGACGUGAAAUCCCCAGGCUCAACCUGGGAACUGCGUCUGAUACUGGUUGGCUUGAAUCCGGGAGAGGGAUGCAGAAUUCCAGGUGUAGCGGUGAAAUGCGUAGAUAUCUGGAGGAAUACCGGUGGCGAAGGCGGCAUCCUGGACCGGCAUUGACGCUGAUGAGCGAAAGCCAGGGGAGCAAACGGGAUUAGAUACCCCGGUAGUCCUGGCCCUAAACGAUGAAUGCUUGGUGUAACGGGUAUCGAUCCCUGUUGUGCCGAAGCUAACGCAUUAAGCAUUCCGCCUGGGGAGUACGGUCGCAAGGCUG
This 371-nucleotide ribosomal RNA is filed under the name uncultured organism. Its description in RNAcentral is "bacterial SSU rRNA". It matches the Rfam family "Bacterial small subunit ribosomal RNA", at positions 527 to 896 of the family's 1533-position model. The record is from RNAcentral.